AGCGAACGUUAGCGGCGGGCCUAACACAUGCAAGUCGAACGAGAAUGAGGGGGCAACUCCUCUAGUAAAGUGGCGGACGGGUGCGUAACACGUAGGUAAUUUACCUUCCGGCGGGGGACGAACAGUCCGAAAGGACUGCUAAUACCGCAUACGUCGGCGAGGUCUCCGGACCUUGUCGGGAAAGAUGGCCUCUCCUUGGAAGCUGUCACCGGAAGAUGAACCUGCGGCCCAUCAGCUAGUUGGUGAGGAACGGCUCACCAAGGCGAAGACGGGUAGCUGGUCUGAGAGGAUGAUCAGCCACACUGGGACGUGCGACACGGCCCAGACUCCUACGGGAGG
Molecule: ribosomal RNA, 339 nt
Filed under: uncultured bacterium
Lineage: Bacteria
Description: bacterial SSU rRNA
Rfam family: Bacterial small subunit ribosomal RNA
Source: RNAcentral